AUGGACACCAAAAAGAAAAAAACUACAAUUGUAUUCUUUUCGGAUAUAAAUAGAUUCCAACGAUUUCUUUUCCAGCAAUUCAUUCCAAUCCUGUUUGUUUGUUUGUUUCCUUUCUAAUUUUUCAUUUUUUUUAACGCUAGUUCCCAAAGAUAGGGAGGGAAUAAAAACCUGUUUUAAAAAAAAGAAGAAGAAGAAACUUAUAUUUUCUGAAAAAGAAGAAAGAUUUAAAAUAAUAGUUCUUAAAAGAUGAUGUGUCAAAUAUAAGAUAAGGUGUGCAUGUUUGAACAAUUAAUAGACUACAUAUUAAUUGAGAUAAGAGUAGAAUAAAAUCAAUCAAAACUGAUUUGAAUUAGUUUUUAUAUUGAGUUUAUUUUCCCCAUAUUGACUGUUUCCAUAUAAAAUUUGAGUAUGAAAUGAAAGAGUGGCAAAGAGGUCGGGAUCCAAAGAUUUCGCAUUCUCCCCUGUUACUUGGGAAACACAUAUUACAAAUAUAAAUUGGUUGUUUGUGGUUGUUACCAUAACGGCAACCGGAAUGGAUCACGAAGGGGAAGCUAAGAGGACUGAUUUGAUGACUAUCACUCGGUUUGUUCUGAAUGAGCAGUCAAAGUAUCCAGAAUCACGCGGCGAUUUCACCAUCCUCCUCAAUCACAUUGUUCUUGGCUGCAAGUACGUUUGCUCUGCUGUUAACAAGGCUGGACUCGCCAAACUUCUAGGACUUGCUGGAGAAACCAACGUUCAGGGUGAGGAGCAAAAGAAAUUGGACGUGCUUUCUAAUGAGGUGUUUGUUAACGCCUUAAUCAGCAGCGGGCGCACUUGCCUUCUUGUUUCAGAAGAGCUUGAAGAGGCUGUUUUUGUGAAGCCAAAACAGCGUGGAAAAUACAUUGUUGUAUUUGAUCCUUUGGAUGGAUCCUCAAAUAUUGAAUGCGGUGUUUCUAUUGGAACUAUCUUUGGCAUUUAUGCAGCGAAGGACAAAGAUAAAAUUACACUUGAUGAUGUCUUGCAACCUGGGAACAGAAUGUUAGCAGCUGGUUACUGCAUGUAUGGUAGCUCUUGCAUGUUCGUGAUUAGCACAGGACAUGGUGUAAAUGGUUUCACACUUGAUCCUUCUCUUGGAGAGUUCAUAUUAACUCACCCAAACAUCAAGAUACCGAAGAAAGGGAAUAUUUAUUCAGUGAAUGAAGGAAAUGCCAAAAACUGGGAGAAACCAAUCACUGAGUAUGUGGAUAAUUGCAAGUUUCCUCAAGAUGGUUCUUCACCAAAGUCCCUUAGAUACGUUGGAAGUAUGGUUGCUGAUAUCCAUAGAACAUUGCUUUAUGGUGGUAUCUUCAUGUACCCUGCUGAUAAGAAAAGUCCAGAUGGAAAGCUAAGGCUUCUCUACGAAGUGUUUCCAAUGUCAUAUUUGAUGGAGCAAGCUGGAGGUCAAGCUUUUACUGGAAAAGGAAGGGCACUUGACUUGGUUCCAAAGAAAAUACAUGAACGAUCACCUGUAAUCCUUGGAAGUUACGAUGACGUGGAGCACGUGAAAGCUUUUUAUGCUGCAUCCAAAGCAAAUGGUGCAUGAAUAUUGAAUAUCAAUUGGUCCUUGCAUUAUUAGCAGUUAAGUGGGUGGCACAUCUUUCUUUCAAUUGUUUCCUUCUUGUCAGGAAUUUGUUUUAGUGAGUUCCUUAAUUCAUAAGAUCCAUAGUAUUAGGCAGAACAAGGUUUUUAAUCACACAAGCUCGUUUUUCUAGUUCUAGUACUAAUAAGUGUAACAGGGUCUUUAUGUAUAUUUGGCAAUUCACACGAAAUUCUUGUAGUACCUCCUUAAAAUAUACCAUGUACAUGAUAGAAGCACCACUUCAAAAAUAAAACUAAAAGAAGUAAAAAGCAUACACAUGCAUGCACGUAUAUUGAUUCAAACUAUAUAAUAAAAAGGAAAUUAAUGUACCUAAUUUUUUUUCAAAUUUAUUGUAAUGAAAGCAAAUUAAUUAAGGAGGGGAUAUGAUGAUUGACCAUAGCCCAGCCUGUGAUUGCCAAUCACACAGCCUGUGUUUGACCAUACAGAUUAUAUAGCAUUUGCUAAUUAUGGUUAAGGUAUAUAAUUAAUCUAAGUUAUUAGGCUCAUUAUAAAAACCAUGUUAGGAUGAAGUAGAAACUACUCAUUCAUUUGCAUCCAAAGGGGGGAACACAUCAAGAAGGAAACCAAAAGCUCCUUGAUUCGUUCUCCCACAAUUUUCUGCAUUGAACAUGGGCAACUGCGCUAGCGCUCCCAAGACCAACGAGGGUAAUGAUGCCCCAUUGCCAGUGCCAGUGCCCGAGCCUGUCAUCGACCAGGAGCAGGCCGCCACUGCUGUCUCCGCCGCCUCCGAUGACAACGCUCUAGGCACCAUAUUCAUUGAGAAGGAAGAAAAGGAGGCAAAGGUGGAAGAAGACAAGAAAAGCGAGGAGGUGGUGGCAGCUGAUGAGGAGAAGAAAGAGGAGGAAAAGCCUAAAGCCACCGUAGAAGAGGCACCAAAACUUGAAGCUUAAAAGUUGAAGAAACUCCUCCAUCACAAAUAUAAUGCAUACAUGCAACGCUGUCGUCAUUCGAAUCAAAUGUUUAAUUUUAAUCAUUUUUCCGUUAUUUUGUGCUUAAAGAUAUAAUUCAUUAACAUUAAUUUCUUUAAUGGAAAAUUGAUUCUUACUUGAGUUGACUAC
Molecule: non-coding RNA, 2676 nt
Organism: Arachis ipaensis
Lineage: Eukaryota; Viridiplantae; Streptophyta; Magnoliopsida; Fabales; Fabaceae
Source: RefSeq, a predicted model, not a curated record